Molecule: small RNA, 401 nt
Filed under: Pseudomonas phage PAK_P4
Lineage: Duplodnaviria; Heunggongvirae; Uroviricota; Caudoviricetes; Vandenendeviridae
Description: putative antisense RNA
Source: RNAcentral
GUUAGGAUCACACCUUGUAGUAGGUGGAAUACUCGGCCUGUACUGCUGGAAAUCAUCUUAGCGGGAGGCGAGUUAAUAACGGUGUCGAUGUUGCCCUCUAGAACAACCUGAGCCCGGGUCGGACGGGCAGCAUGCCGGCUAAUUGCCGAGAAGGACACUAGGUUGUCCAGAGCAACGCCAGUUGCGGCUGCCGGGUUGAAGGAGUUAUACACCAUCUGGAUAACUUCCCAGAUAGCUUCGUCCGAUGGAGCAACUACGCCGAUCAGACGGCCUAGAGCAGAGUUACCAGACGUGUCAACUUCGUCUCCAGUUGAAACUAGGUCGGCGAAGACCUGAGAGGCUACGUUUCUGUAGUCUGUCAGGAUUUGGUCCAAGUCUUUAAUCGUUAGACCUUCUGCUGU